Molecule: ribosomal RNA, 1188 nt
Filed under: Salmonella enterica subsp. enterica serovar Paratyphi A
Lineage: Bacteria; Pseudomonadati; Pseudomonadota; Gammaproteobacteria; Enterobacterales; Enterobacteriaceae
Description: partial 16S ribosomal RNA
Rfam family: Bacterial small subunit ribosomal RNA (bases 1-722)
Source: RNAcentral
UCCGAGAGUCGACUUGGAGGUUGUGCCCUUGAGGCGUGGCUUCCGGAGCUAACGCGUUAAGUCGACCGCCUGGGGAGUACGGCCGCAAGGUUAAAACUCAAAUGAAUUGACGGGGGCCCGCACAAGCGGUGGAGCAUGUGGUUUAAUUCGAUGCAACGCGAAGAACCUUACCUACUCUUGACAUCCACAGAACUUUCCAGAGAUGGAUUGGUGCCUUCGGGAACUGUGAGACAGGUGCUGCAUGGCUGUCGUCAGCUCGUGUUGUGAAAUGUUGGGUUAAGUCCCGCAACGAGCGCAACCCUUAUCCUUUGUUGCCAGCGCGUAAUGGGGGGACCCCAAAGGAAACGGCCGGGGAAAAACGGGAGAAAGGGGGGAAUAACGCCAGGCCUCCUGGGCCCUUACAAUAAGGGCUCCACACGGGUUCCAUGGGGUUUUACAAAGGGAGCCACAUCCCCAAAACCAAGCGAACCUCUCAAAGAAGGUCGUAUCCCGGAUCGAAUCCGGCAACUCAAUUCCUUAAAUCCGAAAUCCCUAUUAAUCGGGAAUCAAAUGGCUCCGGGAAAUACUUUCCCGGGCCUUGUCCCCCCCGCCCGUUCCCCCCAGGGGAAUGGGGUUGCAAAAGAAAGUAGGUAGCUUUAACCUUCGGGAAGGGCGCUUUACCCCUUUGGUUGAUUCAGGCAUUGGGGGGAAUCCGUAAGGGGGGGCACCCCAAAAAAAAAAAAGGAACCGCCCGCUAUUUUUUUAGGCAACAGAAGGUUGGGUUUUUUGGUACCGGGGGGGGGCGGCUGUUGUCGGCAGGGGGGGUGGCCUCCAAAGAUUUUGUAGGGGGGUGUCAGGGGGCGUGACGGGGGGGGGGGGGUGGGGGGCCCGGCCUGGGGGGGGGAAGGUGGGGGGGGCCGACGGUUUGGAGGGGGGGGGGGCCCCCCCGCGGUGGGACCCCCGGGGGGGAUUUUUCCCCCUUCCGGGAUUUUGCGACCAACCCCCCCGGGGGGGGGGGGGUUUUUUUCCCCCCCCGCUAAAUUUUCCCCGGUUUUUCCGGGGGUUGGGCCCCCCCCCCCCUGUUUUUUUCCCGGCGGGGGGGGGCGGGCCCCCGAGAUUUUUCAGGCCGGGGGGGGGUUUUUUUUUUCGGGGGCGGGAUGUCCCGCGUCACUGUUUGGGGCGGGGGGUUGUUUUUUUUUCCUCUUUCUU